Long non-coding RNA from Homo sapiens (human), 1084 nucleotides. Ensembl annotates it as long intergenic non-protein coding RNA 1091. NCBI's taxonomy places the organism in Eukaryota, Metazoa, Chordata, Mammalia, Primates, Hominidae. The record is from Ensembl.
GGUAGUCAACCUUCUGAGAAGAACUUAUACACAUCUACUGUGAAGUUGGUAGUGGCUCUGUGAUUCUCUUAUUUUGAAAAUUCACUGCCGGUGGUUGGACUGAGUCCCAUGAAGCCAGAUCACUUCUGACUGCAAGGAGCUUGGAAAAGCAAGUAUCUGGAUCUUUUACCAGCUAAAUUUGGAGGUCUGGAGAAGGAAAUGUACUGUUAUGACUAUAAAGACAUCCUGCUGAAUAUCCUGAUGCUUGGGAAAGUAAAACUCAAUAUAGAAAAAGCAUCACUAAUCAAAUCUACAAAAUUAUUGAUCAAAUUUGGAUCUCUGUGUGCUGUCCUCCAAUUUAAUACUUUCUGUGUUGCUGUUUUAUUUUCUUUCUUCUGGAACCUGGCAAAGUGCGUCAAGCGAUGAGGCUUCCUCUUUGAAGAUCACAGGUGAGAAGAUUAGGUGCUUUCUCAGAAGCCCAGCAACCUGAUGGGAGUGUGGAGUGAGCAAGACCCAAAUCGGAGCUUCAUCCCUGCAUGGUUCAUUUUGCUUAUUUGGCAAACUUGCCCUGCAGAAUCUACUCAAGCUUCCUCAGUUUCUCAAAUCAUUCUUGGGCAACAAAUGAACAAGAAAGAGGACGUCUUAUUAUCUGGUGUCUGGCUUGCUGAUUUAAUAACCUAGGAGACAGUGUUUGAAGAACACAAACUCUAAAGUCCUUCACUUAAAAAAAAAAAAAAACUUUCCCAAAUUGCUUACCAUUUGGAAAAAUUGCCUUACCUUCUUCAGUCAUCUCUGAUGUUGUCAUCCUCAGAGUAAGAAGUACGCAUUCAUAAGGAACCAUAACGUCCUUCAGGAAAUCCAGUACACCCUACAAUUUUACCUAAAACUUUGAUGUUGUUUUUUCUGAGCAUUUUACCUUCUAGGGAAAUGGAUCUCAUGCUGUUUAUCAGUUUCUGAAAGUUGUUAUUAAUCUCCCCUCAUCCCAAAAUUGAAGAACUUUGCUUAAAUCUUAGAAUCAGAACUUUGGCUCCAGUAAUAAAGACUUUUCAAUAUCUUUAUCUGCCAUUGAGUCUUACCUAACGAAAUAAAGCCUCCAAAGUGGGAA